Molecule: transfer RNA, 73 nt
Filed under: Otolemur garnettii (small-eared galago)
Lineage: Eukaryota; Metazoa; Chordata; Mammalia; Primates; Galagidae
Rfam family: tRNA
About the family: Transfer RNA (tRNA) molecules are approximately 80 nucleotides in length. Their secondary structure includes four short double-helical elements and three loops (D, anti-codon, and T loops). Further hydrogen bonds mediate the characteristic L-shaped molecular structure. tRNAs have two regions of fundamental functional importance: the anti-codon, which is responsible for specific mRNA codon recognition, and the 3' end, to which the tRNAs corresponding amino acid is attached (by aminoacyl-tRNA synthetases). tRNAs cope with the degeneracy of the genetic code in two manners: having more than one tRNA (with a specific anti-codon) for a particular amino acid; and 'wobble' base-pairing, i.e. permitting non-standard base-pairing at the 3rd anti-codon position.
Source: Rfam by way of RNAcentral
GCACUUGUAGCUCAGUGGUUAGGGUGCCGGCCACAUACACCGGGGCUGGCUGGUUCAAACCCAGCCAAGGACU